This 497-nucleotide ribosomal RNA is filed under the name uncultured bacterium. Its description in RNAcentral is "partial 16S ribosomal RNA". It matches the Rfam family "Bacterial small subunit ribosomal RNA", at positions 28 to 507 of the family's 1533-position model. The record is from RNAcentral.
GAUGAACGCUGGCGGCGUGCCUAAUACAUGCAAGUCGAGCGAACAGAUAAGGAGCUUGCUCCUUUGAAGUUAGCGGCGGACGGGUGAGUAACACGUGGGUAACCUACCUAUAAGACUGGGAUAACUUCGGGAAACCGGAGCUAAUACCGGAUAACAUUUAGAACCGCAUGGUUCUAAAGUGAAAGAUGGUUUUGCUAUCACUUAUAGAUGGACCCGCGCCGUAUUAGCUAGUUGGUAAGGUAACGGCUUACCAAGGCGACGAUACGUAGCCGACCUGAGAGGGGGAGCGGCAACACGGGAAAUGAGACAGGGCCCAGCCCCCGACGGGAGGAACCAGGAGGGAAUCUUCCGCAAGGGGCGAAGGCCGGACGGAGCAACGCCGCGGGAGGGAGGAGGGGUUUCGGAUCGUAAAACUUUGUUAUGAGGGAAGAAAAAAGGUGUAAGUAACUGUGCACAUCUGGACGGGACCUAAUAAGAAAGCCACGGCUAAUUACGUG